UGGGGAAUAUUGCACAAUGGGCGCAAGUCUGAUGCAGCAACGCCGCGUGAACGAUGAAGGUCUUCGGAUCGUAAAGUUCUGUUGCAGGGGAAGAUAAUGACGGUACCCUGUGAGGAAGCCCCGGCUAACUACGUGCCAGCAGCCGCGGUAAUACGUAGGGGGCUAGCGUUAUCCGGAUUUACUGGGCGUAAAGGGUGCGUAGGUGGUCUUUCAAGUCGGUGGUUAAAGGCUACGGCUCAACCGUAGUUAGCCUCCGAAACUGGAAGACUUGAGUGCAGGAGAGGAAAGUGGAAUUCCCAGUGUAGCGGUGAAAUGCGUAGAUAUAUGGAGGAACACCGGUGGCGAAAGCGGCUCUCUGGUCUGUAACUGACGCUGAGGCUCGAAAGCGUGGGGAGCGAACAGG
This 403-nucleotide ribosomal RNA is filed under the name Verrucomicrobiota bacterium. RNAcentral describes it as "Verrucomicrobia bacterium partial 16S ribosomal RNA". It matches the Rfam family "Bacterial small subunit ribosomal RNA", at positions 355 to 776 of the family's 1533-position model. The record is from RNAcentral. Lineage: Bacteria; Pseudomonadati; Verrucomicrobiota.